CGUAUGCCUAUCAUGUAUACAUCUGUCAUGUCAGGCACAAGGCCAGCGGGCAGACAUUUAAGCCAGAAAUCAAAUUAGGCACCAUGGCCAACGGGCAGACAAAAAGCCUGUAGAAUAAUAACAUCAGACAUAUUUUGUCUAUCAAUGAUUAUUCAUAUAGGCGGUACCAUUAUCUGUAGUCCCUAAUUGUUAUACUAAUCGAUCCAAGCUAAAUACAUAAGCCUAGGUUCACUUUGGGCAAUUAAGCAUUAUUACUUAAAUUUGGACUUAUUAUUUCAUGUCAUGUAUCAUUAUGGAGUGGGAAAGUAGGUCCUAUUU
Molecule: unclassified non-coding RNA, 318 nt
Filed under: Hevea brasiliensis (rubber tree)
Lineage: Eukaryota; Viridiplantae; Streptophyta; Magnoliopsida; Malpighiales; Euphorbiaceae
Source: RNAcentral